This 540-nucleotide ribosomal RNA is filed under the name uncultured bacterium. Its description in RNAcentral is "partial 16S ribosomal RNA". It matches the Rfam family "Bacterial small subunit ribosomal RNA", at positions 338 to 873 of the family's 1533-position model. The record is from RNAcentral.
CCUACGGGAGGCCGCAGGGGGGAAUUUUGGGCAAGGGGCGCGGGCGUGAUCCAGCAAUGGGGGGUGAGUGAAGAAGGCCUUCGGGUUGUAAAGCUUUUUUGUCAGGGAGGAAACGGGUUUUUUUAAUAUGGGGCCCUAAUGACGGUACCUGAAGAAUAAGCCCCGGCUAACUACGUCCCAGCAGCCGCGGUAAUACGUAGGGGGCAAGCUUUAAUCGGAAUUACUGGGCGUAAAGCGUGCGCAGGCGGUUUUUUAAGUCGGGGGUGAAAUCCCCGGGCUCAACCUGGGAAUGGCUUUGGAGAUUGCAAGUUUAGAGUUUGGCAGGGGGGGGUAGAUUUCCAGGUGUAGCGGUGAAAUGCGUAGAUAUGGGGAGGAACCCCGAUGGAGAAGGCAGCCCCCUGGGUCAAAACUGACGCUCAGGCACGAAAGCGUGGGGAGCAAACAGGAUUAGAUACCCUGGUAGUCCACCCCUUAAACGAUGUAUAUUAGUGUCGGGUUUUAAUUGACUUGGUGCCGCAGCUAACGCGUAAGAUCCGCUGG